Molecule: ribosomal RNA, 280 nt
Filed under: Leyella stercorea DSM 18206
Lineage: Bacteria; Pseudomonadati; Bacteroidota; Bacteroidia; Bacteroidales; Prevotellaceae
Description: Prevotella stercorea DSM 18206 partial 16S ribosomal RNA
Rfam family: Bacterial small subunit ribosomal RNA
Source: RNAcentral
UAUGUAUUGUGUGCCACAGCGCGGUAAUACGGAAGGUCCGGGCGUUAUCCGGAUUUAUUGGGUUUAAAGGGAGCGUAGGCCGUUUGGUAAGCGUGUUGUGAAAUGUCGGGGCUCAACCUGGGCAUUGCAGCGCGAACUGCCAGACUUGAGUGCGCAGGAAGUAGGCGGAAUUCGUCGUGUAGCGGUGAAAUGCUUAGAUAUGACGAAGAACUCCGAUUGCGAAGGCAGCCUGCUGUAGCGCAACUGACGCUGAAGCUCGAAAGCGUGGGUAUCGAACAGG